UACGAAGGGGGCUAGCGUUGCUCGGAAUUACUGGGCGUAAAACGCACGUAGGCGGCUUUCUAAGUCGGGGGUGAAAUCCUGGAGCUCAACUCCAGAACUGCCUUCGAUACUGGAGAGCUUGAGUCCGGGAGAGGUGAGUGGAACUGCGAGUGUAGAGGUGAAAUUCGUAGAUAUUCGCAAGAACACCAGUGGCGAAGGCGGCUCACUGGCCCGGUACUGGCGCUGAGGUGCGAAAAGCGUGGGGGAGCAAACAGG
Molecule: ribosomal RNA, 255 nt
Filed under: uncultured bacterium
Lineage: Bacteria
Description: partial 16S ribosomal RNA
Rfam family: Bacterial small subunit ribosomal RNA
Source: RNAcentral